This 248-nucleotide ribosomal RNA is filed under the name uncultured bacterium. RNAcentral's name for it is "partial 16S ribosomal RNA". It matches the Rfam family "Bacterial small subunit ribosomal RNA", at positions 113 to 353 of the family's 1533-position model. The record is from RNAcentral.
ACACGUAGGUAACCUGCCCAUGUGCCCGGGAUAACUUCUGGAAACGGAGUGCUAAAACCGGAUAGGUAGCAGACAAGCAUUUGACUGCUAUUAAAGUGGCUAAGGCCAUGAACAUGGAUGGACCUGCGGUGCAUUAGCUAGUUGGUGAGGUAACGGCCCACCAAGGCGACGAUGCAUAGCCGGCCUGAGAGGGCGGACGGCCACAUUGGGACUGAGACACGGCCCAAACUCCUACGGGAGGCAGCAUG